UGGUGGUAGGUCAGGUGAAUAUGGCAGAU
RNAcentral lists this non-coding RNA (29 nucleotides) under Homo sapiens (human). The record is from RNAcentral. Lineage: Eukaryota; Metazoa; Chordata; Mammalia; Primates; Hominidae.